GACGAACGCUGGCGGCGUGCUUAACACAUGCAAGUCGAACGGAAAGGCCUGCUUUCCCUUGUGGAUUGCGGGUACUCGAGUGGCGAACGGGUGAGUAACACGUGAGUGAUCUGCCCCCAACUUGGGUAUAAGCCUGGGAAACUGGGUCUAAUUCCCGAUAGGACUGCAGGGUGGUGCCUGUGGUGGAAAACGUUUUCUAGUGGUUGGGGAUGAGCUCGCGGCCUAUCAGCUUGUUGGUGGGGUAAUGGCCUACCAAGGCGGCGACGGGUAGCCGGCCUGAGAGGGUGGACGGCCACAUUGGGACUGAGAUACGGCCCAG
Molecule: ribosomal RNA, 319 nt
Filed under: uncultured bacterium
Lineage: Bacteria
Description: bacterial SSU rRNA
Rfam family: Bacterial small subunit ribosomal RNA
Source: RNAcentral